RNAcentral lists this ribosomal RNA (468 nucleotides) under uncultured bacterium. RNAcentral describes it as "partial 16S ribosomal RNA". It matches the Rfam family "Bacterial small subunit ribosomal RNA", at positions 28 to 507 of the family's 1533-position model. The record is from RNAcentral.
GACGAACGCUGGCGGCGUGCUUAACACAUGCAAGUCGAACGGAAAGGCCCUGCUUUUGUGGGGUGCUCGAGUGGCGAACGGGUGAGUAACACGUGAGUAACCUGCCCUUGACUUUGGGAUAACUUCAGGAAACUGGGGCUAAUACCGGAUAGGAGCUCCUGCUGCAUGGUGGGGGUUGGAAAGUUUCGGCGGUUGGGGAUGGACUCGCGGCUUAUCAGCUUGUUGGUGGGGUAGUGGCUUACCAAGGCUUUGACGGGUAGCCGGCCUGAGAGGGUGACCGGCCACAUUGGGACUGAGAUACGGCCCAGACUCCUACGGGAGGCAGCAGUGGGGAAUAUUGCACAAUGGGCGGAAGCCUGAUGCAGCAACGCCGCGUGCGGGAUGGCGGCCUUCGUGUUGUAAACCGCUUUCGCCUGUGACGAAGCGUGAGUGACGGUAAUGGGUAAAGAAGCACCGGCUAACUACGUG